CAAAGGGCCAGGGUCUCCUAGGCCCCUGGCAUGGCUGAAAAACAGCAGCUUUGUUUGCAGUCUGGAAAUCCUUGUCCCUGCCCUACCCAAUAAAAGGAUACAAUACACCAGCCCAGCUGAACCACAGGAAGCUAUAUAGUGAGAAAAAGACAGCAUUUUGUCUCAUCAAUCAACCCUUAUGGACAUGUCAUCUGCAUCAGCCUAACUCCUAAUAAUGGCCAAGGACAACUCCCUCUCUAAUCCCAGAGCUACUUCUAUCUUACACUGUGACUCACUGGACCCAGUCUCUGCUAGAUGUGGUCUCUCCUACUGGGCAAGUAGCACUUCUGCAAGACUCCAUGAGCUAUGGUAAGAAUAGAAAAAAGAAAAAUACCAUCUCCUUUAAGCUGAAGAAAGAUUCCCUCUUAGGAGUUUGAGUCUUCCACCACAACCAGCUCUCUUCUCUGCUGCCAGAAGUCAUACUACACAGAGCCAUCCCCUACUAACUACA
Phascolarctos cinereus (koala) is the source of this 490-nucleotide non-coding RNA. NCBI's taxonomy places the organism in Eukaryota, Metazoa, Chordata, Mammalia, Diprotodontia, Phascolarctidae. The record is from RefSeq and is a predicted model, not a curated record.